AUUGAACGCUGGCGGCAGGCCUAACACAUGCAAGUCGAACGGAUGAAGGGAGCUUGCUCCUGGAUUCAGCGGCGGACGGGUGAGUAAUGCCUAGGAAUCUGCCUGGUAGUGGGGGAUAACGUCCGGAAACGGGCGCUAAUACCGCAUACGUCCUGAGGGAGAAAGUGGGGGAUCUUCGGACCUCACGCUAUCAGAUGAGCCUAGGUCGGAUUAGCUAGUUGGUGGAGUAAAGGCCUACCAAGGCGACGAUCCGUAACUGGUCUGAGAGGAUGAUCAGUCACACUGGAACAGAGACACGGUCCAGACUCCUACGGGAGGCAGCAGUGGGGAAUAUUGGACAAUGGGCGAAAGCCUGAUCCAGCCAUGCCGCGUGUGUGAAGAAGGUCUUCGGAUUGUAAAGCACUUUAAGUUGGGAGGAAGGGCAGUAAGUUAAUACCUUGCUGUUUUGACGUUACCAACAGAAUAAGCACCGGCUAACUUCGUG
Molecule: ribosomal RNA, 484 nt
Filed under: uncultured bacterium
Lineage: Bacteria
Description: partial 16S ribosomal RNA
Rfam family: Bacterial small subunit ribosomal RNA
Source: RNAcentral